This 291-nucleotide ribosomal RNA is filed under the name uncultured bacterium. RNAcentral's name for it is "partial 16S ribosomal RNA". It matches the Rfam family "Bacterial small subunit ribosomal RNA", at positions 505 to 796 of the family's 1533-position model. The record is from RNAcentral.
GUGUCAGCAGCCGCGGUAAGACGAACCGAGCGAACGUUGUUCGGAUCACUGGGCUUAAAGGGCGCGUAGGCGGGCUGCCAAGUCUGUGGUGAAAUCCUCCAGCUUAACUGGAGAACGGCCGCGGAUACUGGCGGUCUCGAGGAAGGUAGGGGCAAGUGGAACUGUGCGUGGAGCGGUGAAAUGCGUUGAUAUGCACAGGAACUCCGGUGGCGAAGGCGACUUGCUGGACCUUUUCUGACGCUGAGGCGCGAAAGCUAGGGGAGCGAACGGGAUUAGAUACCCCGGUAGUCC